UGCAGUCGAGCGGCAGCGGAAGUAGCUUGCUACUUUGCCGGCGAGCGGCGGACGGGUGAGUAAUGUCUGGGAAACUGCCUGAUGGAGGGGGAUAACUACUGGAAACGGUGGCUAAUACCGCAUAACGUCGCAAGACCAAAGUGGGGGACCUUCGGGCCUCACGCCAUCGGAUGUGCCCAGAUGGGAUUAGCUAGUAGGUGGGGUAAUGGCUCACCUAGGCGACGAUCCCUAGCUGGUCUGAGAGGAUGACCAGCCACACUGGAACUGAGACACGGUCCAGACUCCUACGGGAGGCAGCAGUGGGGAAUAUUGCACAAUGGGCGCAAGCCUGAUGCAGCCAUGCCGCGUGUGUGAAGAAGGCCUUCGGGUUGUAAAGCACUUUCAGCGAGGAGGAAGGCAUCACACUUAAUACGUGUGGUGAUUGACGUUACUCGCAGAAGAAGCACCGGCUAACUCCGUGCCAGCAGCCGCGGUAAUACGGAGGGUGCAAGCGUUAAUCGGAAUUACUGGGCGUAAAGCGCACGCAGGCGGUUUGUUAAGUCAGAUGUGAAAUCCCCGCGCUUAACGUGGGAACUGCAUUUGAAACUGGCAAGCUAGAGUCUUGUAGAGGGGGGGUAGAAUUCCAGGUGUAGCGGUGAAAUGCGUAGAGAUCUGGAGGAAUACCGGUGGCGAAAGGCGGCCCCCUGGACAAAGACUGACGCUCAUGUGCGAAAGCGUGGGGAGCAAACAGGAUUAGAUAC
RNAcentral lists this ribosomal RNA (740 nucleotides) under Yersinia sp. 8AB. RNAcentral's name for it is "bacterial SSU rRNA". It matches the Rfam family "Bacterial small subunit ribosomal RNA", at positions 56 to 785 of the family's 1533-position model. Lineage: Bacteria; Pseudomonadati; Pseudomonadota; Gammaproteobacteria; Enterobacterales; Yersiniaceae. The record is from RNAcentral.